This 486-nucleotide long non-coding RNA is filed under the name Felis catus (domestic cat). RNAcentral describes it as "lncRNA (ENSFCAG00000051672.1)". The record is from RNAcentral. Lineage: Eukaryota; Metazoa; Chordata; Mammalia; Carnivora; Felidae.
UCCUCACAGGCGGCCAGGGGUUCCCUACAGGCGGCCAGGGGUUCCCUGCAAAGGCCGGGGGUUCCCUACAGGCGGCCGGGGGUUCCCUACAGGGGGCCAGGGGUUCCCUACAGGCGGCCAGGGGUUCCCUGCAGCAGCCAGGGGUUCCCUGCAGUGGCCAGGGGUUCCCUACAGGCGGCCAGGGGUUCCCUAUAGGCAGCCGGGGGUUCCCUGCAGCGGCUGGGGUUCCUUACAGGCAGUCAGGGUUCUCUGCAGUGACCGGGGGUUCCCUACAGGCGGCCAGGGGUUCCCUGCAAAGGCCGGGGGUUCCCUACAGGCGGCCGGGGGUUCCCUACAGGGGGCCAGGGGUUCCCUACAGGCGGCCAGGGGUUCCUGCAGCGGCCAGGGGUUCCCUACAGGCAGCCAGGGUUCCCUGCAGUGGCCGGGGUUCCCUACAGGCAGCCGGGGGUUCCCUGCAGUGACCGGGGGUUCCUCACAGGCGGCCAG